GCAACAGCCAGAGAGCAGUAAGUAGUUAAGUGUAACCAGGGCCCAGGUGUGCUCUGCCAGGUCUUAGGGAAACUGGUAGCAUGGCUUUCUCCUCACUGUGGUCCUUCAGCAUACCUGCUUCGGUCUCCCUCCCCGUUUGACUUGCUCUCCAAUAUCUGCCCCCCUAACACAUAGCCUUCGAAUGGAAACAGAUCCAAAUCCAGAGACUACGGCUUUAUGCCUUCAGAAAGAAAGGGAGCCCAUGCAGGUGUUCUUAUAGAGAGGCCAGGCCAGUUUCACAGCUGGGGUCCUUUCAAUGCUCACAGGCUAGAGGGAAUAUUUCUGGGGUCUAUUGCUGGCCAGCCUGCUCCAUGCUUUUCCAGUCCCAAAGGUCCCAUGUUCAGGAGUAUAGUAGAAAUCCUGAUCCCUGCAGCUCUCCUCUGGCCCCAAGAAAGGAUUCCAUAACUCAGAUGAGUGUCCCCCUUUCAGGACGGGGCCCUGGUUGAGACUGGAGAGAGAUUAAUAAUUGCAAUGCCAAAUGGUAAGUACUUCCAGAGGUACAGAACCCUGUGAGACCACUAAAAGUAUAUUUGCAGGGCAGACAAGAUGAUCGUACCACAGCAUUUUGCACAGUAUUUUGACUAGGUGAUUUGCUGGAUAAAGGGGCAAGAAGAUGGAAUUUGGAACAGCUGUCUGUCUUGGAAGAGACAGUGAUGAAAUGGAACUGGGUAAUUUGAGGCCACACACCAGAAGUUGGAAGGGAACCCUGGAGAGUUUUACACCAACUCUCAUAGGGAUGUUCCUCAUCAAUGCUUU
This 795-nucleotide long non-coding RNA is filed under the name Marmota monax (woodchuck). The record is from RNAcentral. Lineage: Eukaryota; Metazoa; Chordata; Mammalia; Rodentia; Sciuridae.